UUUUUUUUGUUUUUGAAACCGCCUGAAUUUUGGAAACUAAUCAAUUCUCUCAAUCAAUUGAAAUCAUUUUCCACUCAAACCCUAAAUCAUUCUUUCAGCCGUUUCUCUCUGGCUUCACUCUACAUCCUCUUCAAAUCAAACUUGGAUCCAUGGAUUAUUUUCAAUGAAGAAUCUAACUGAUGUUGCUGAAUGUUUGAUAUCCCUCUCCAAUUGCGAAGCAUUGAUACGACUCCAUCAUACAUCGAUUUUGUCUUCAUCAUCCUUCGAAACUGAAGCAUCAUGAUGUGUGUGGAAUUUAAUCCUGUGGAUGAUAAUUAUUUCAUUAGCGAUUCCAUAGACGGCAAAGUACGCAUAUGGGAUGUGUAUGAAAAGUUUGUUAUCUUAUUUAUAGGUGAGAGUUCAACUAGGUUAGGAUCUACAGGUCGUCUCACAAAGCUAUAUUGAAGCACGACGAAAUUGGUGCCUUCCAUAUGUGAUCUUUUUUGUUGCUUACAAUGACGAUGAAUGGUGGGGGGGGGGGUGUUCUUGCUCUUGAUGAGAAGUAAGCACCCGAAACUUGUGGAUAAUACGUUUUUUAUUGAAAUGAACUGUUUGUUUAUGGGUUUGCUUGUGGUUUGGAUAAUCAAUCGCAUAAGUGUAAUUCACAUAUAUUUAUGAGAUUUUGAAAUCCUUAUUAUCGUAAUUAUUGAUCGAUUGUAGCAUCAGUGGUCGUAUUCUGACAAAAGGCUUCCGGCUACAAGUGGCAGCUCCCGGUGCAUAAAGGCAGCAUUGAGUGUUUGUUUAAUGGUGGAAAUGGAGAAUCUGGCAACCCAGACAGCAGAGCCGACUGAUUUAGGGACCAGCUAUGUUAAUCCAGCAAGCACGGUUAUCAUGUUCUUUGUUCCAAUUUGCUAGAUCCAGAGUUUAAACAUUGGCUGAUAUUUAUUAUUCUUGUGUUUAGAGGCGUUGGUGUUGAUUAAGAUAAGAUAAUUUAUAUUGUGUCUAACUGUAUUAACCAUAUAAAAACUUUAUAUAUAUACAGUAAGUUACUACUUGUUUGAUUCUGCUUGAUGAAUAAUGUUGUAUGUUGCUUGACUAGGUUGCUGGACACUUCACGUAUGGUGUAAUGGCAAUUUCGGCUGCCACAUUUGUGUUUUGGAGUACUGUUGGUACACGUAUAUUACCGGUCGCUUUUCAGCAAGGAAGUGCCAUGUCAUUAGCAUUGCAGCUCUCAUGCAUCUGAUGAGCAUUUCGAGCUAAAUUCAAAUGAGAAAUGGUCUGAAACCGAUGUACUGAAGCUAGCUGCUGCAGGAGAAUCCAACACACUUCAUCCAAUUGGGAAAGCUAUUCUGGAAGCUGCCCGGGCUGCUAAAUGUUCUAACGUAAAGGCUGAUGAUGGAACAUUUAUGGAAGAACCUGGAUCUGGUGCCGUAGCCUCUUGUGGGAAGAAGAUGGUUUCUGUCGGUACAUUGGAAUGGGUUAGAAGGCAUGGAGUUGCUGAGAAUCCGUUUAUAGAAACUGAAGAAUUUAAAAAUCAAUCAGUUGUGUAUGUCGGGAUAGAUGGUGUGCUUGCAGGUCUUAUUUAUGUUGAGGAUCAGAUAAGAGAAGAUGCUGCAAAAUCAUUCUUGCGUUCAAAAGAUUCCAACCCAUGACCUCCAUAUAUUAGUAUAUGUUAUAUGUUUGUGUUAAGCCACCCGCGAAGCUCGCGGGAUCUUAGGCUAGUUAGUUAUAAAUUAAAACGAGAUCUUUUAAGUUUUAAAAGUAUAAAUAUAAAAAAAGCUGUUUCUCUUCUGUUCCAACA
Helianthus annuus (common sunflower) is the source of this 1780-nucleotide long non-coding RNA. RefSeq lists it as uncharacterized. The record is from RefSeq and is a predicted model, not a curated record. NCBI's taxonomy places the organism in Eukaryota, Viridiplantae, Streptophyta, Magnoliopsida, Asterales, Asteraceae. The transcript has 7 exons.